Molecule: long non-coding RNA, 7611 nt
Filed under: Marmota monax (woodchuck)
Lineage: Eukaryota; Metazoa; Chordata; Mammalia; Rodentia; Sciuridae
Source: RNAcentral
UCCCUGCCUUUGUCCAGGGGCCCCUGCCUGGAACACCCUCUUCUCUCCUCCGCACCAGGGCUGCCAGGUCCAGGAGGCCCCACCCAAUCUCACCCUGAGGCUCCGCUCCCUGGCCCCAGCCCUGGGCCCUCUCUGGUCUGCCUCCCUUGAUCUGUCUCCAGGUCCCACCAGGCUCCAGGAAAGGAUUCAAGGCAAUAGCUGCCCCGUGGUUUGCUGAGCGGCUUGUUCCUGUUGAACUUUUUCAAGUCUGACUUGAUUGCCUGGACUCCAAGCCAAGCAGUCUCGGACCCCAGACCCCGGCAAGCCCCCCUAGGUACAAGACCAUGUCACCCAGCUGUCCUCGAGGGACCUCGGUUCUCCUGACUCUAGGUAGUCGUACCUGGUGCUUCUCCUCCACGGAUCCCAGGAGACACUGGUCUUUAAGGACACCCCCUGUCAUUUAACUGGCCAUCGGGUCAUGUAGAUGAAAGCAAAAGUUAUGAAAAUGACAAGGGGCUGCAGGAAGGUUGGACGAAUCCUCAAGUUUAACCACCCAGGCCUCAAAGCCCCCGAGUCCUUCAACAGCUCCCAAUAGGAAAGAAAGAAAUCUAUUUCAGAUCUUGCCAUGUAAGAGUUAUGCACAGAAAGGGGUCACAAGGACCCUCCCACUGUGCUUCCAAGGCAGUUGCCACUCAGUAUUCCAACAGCCGCCUCUGGUCACCAUGAGCUUCGAGCUCCGUGUUAAUCUGGACAGAGGAGCUCAUCUCCAGCCAAGGCCAGAGAGUUACCACAGUCUCUUGACGUGCCGUGUAAUUGGAGACGGCUUUCUCGGGAGCAGUUUGUGUGAUGGGCUGUCUGGAGGCCAGCUGUGUCCUGGAUGUGCCCAGUGGUCCCUUGUGGCCUGGGGGGGCGGGUGUCGUUCUGAUCUGAGAUGCAGGAGCCACCAGUGGCAUAGUGACAGUCCCCAUUACAGGAUCCGGAGGAAUCUCAGCAGCCCUCCACUCUAAUCCCUCUGGGUUAAUGAGGAAGACACCGAGUCCAGAGACCAAGGGGGACUCGGUCAAGGUCAAGGCCAUCAGCUGUCAGUUUCUGCUAAGUUCACUGAUCAUGCCUCUUCCCGAAGCCAUCGGGCCCUGGACGCUGUCACCUGGCCACCCUACCUCCCAGCCACCCCAGCCCUGUCCACCGUGACAGGCCUCCUUGUGUGCACAAGAUGCCACUGUAUGCGGUUCUUGAUUUAAGACCUGGAGGAGGAAGUACAUGAAACAGCAGUUUGUAAAAUGCAGAGCCAUCUGAAAGCAUGAACUUCUUAUUUAUUUAUUCUCCUUAUAUCUGUACACAACGUUGGGAUUUGUUGUCACAUGUUCGUAUGUGCACACAAAGUGACAGUGUAAUUUGGCCAAUGUCAAUCCCCAGUACCUUGGGAUUUUUAUAUCACUGUCCAAUUCCACAAGUCAGACGAGCCUACACAAUGGCAAGGACACAAGUCCCCCCAGGAAAUGACAUGCUCUGCUUCCUCGUGCUACGAGGGUGGGUGUCUCGGAGGCCACAAGGCAGGAGGAGGGUCAGGCUGGGGUGGGGAGAGGGGGAGGCUCGGCCCAGGUGUCUAGGACCCAGGUGACCCUCUGGGUUUAGGACUGGGUGGAUGUCGUGGCCUGGUCCCAGGGUCAGGCUGGCUUUAUCUGUGCAGUUGUUACCUCCCUAUGCAGGAAAGGAGUCUUUGGGGAUCCUCAUGGAAGGACAGUCCCCAGCUUCAAGCAAACCCAUCCCCACGUUUGCUGGUGGGGCCUCAGAGACUGGCCUGUGUCCUUCCAGCCUGUCAGCAGCGGGUGCUUAGGAAGGAAGGGCCCCAUGGGGCUCACUGUGCGGCCGUGGGCUCUGAGGACAGAGGGAACCACCCAGCUCUGAGGGGCUAUUCCCAGUGACAACCCCCCACCAGGGUGACCUGUGUCCUUAACAAAAUGGAAGCUGCCAUGUCCCCAAGCAGACGUUGUGUGUCAUCCAGAGGAAGACCCUGCAAGCCUGGGAGUGUCGCCUUCCAAUGAGGCCUAAGGUGCGAGGCCUGAUGACAGGGCCACACUCUGGUUUGAUUCCUCGUGGUGUGAGCCUCAUACGCACACACACCUGCACGGCGCAGGUCGGCACCCUGUGUGGCUGGUCGCUGCAGUCGGGAUGGAGUAGACACAAGAUGCGUGGGGCUCCUGUCCACCUGACAGGGCAGACUAUUCACAGCUUCCCUUUCUCUAUGAGUAGAGUGCACUCUAAAAUAGCAGUGAAGUAGAGCAUAGCAAAUGCAUAAGCCAGCAACAUGGCGGUGUUCCCUUUCUGUAACAAAAAUACCUGAGAUAAUUGACUUAUGAAGAGAAAAGGUUCUGGAGGUUCCAGAGGUCAAUUGGUUGGCUCUGCUGCUUUUAGCCUGUGGUAAGGCAGCACAUCGCCGUGGGAGGGUGAGGCAGAGCCAAACUGCUAUCCCAUAGCCCGGGAGCAAGAAAGAGGAAGAGACUGAGGUCCCAUUAUCCCCUUCAAGAGCACACCCUCAGUGACCUUCCCCUAGGCUCCACCUCUUAAAUUCCCGCUGCCUUCCGAUGGCACCAGGGCUGGGGACAUGGGGACACUUACCGGAACCACAGCAGUAUUUGGGCUGUGCACACCUUUUGAUGUGUGGCAGAGCUGCAGGUUAGCUCACGCAGCCGCACACAGUCCAGCGGGUGAGGCCUUGUGCUAGGACGUCACUGUGGCCACAGGGUACUGGGCAGGGCGUCCCAGCCUCCUGAUCCUGGGGCUCUCUGUGCCUCUGCUUAUUUUACUGCCUCUGUUGUGCCUGUGCCUUUUCUUGUACACUCGCUCACACUCCCUUUCCUUCUGCAAAUCACGUGAUUCAUUAAAACUGCAGCUCGGCUCAGAAGGGGGGCGCAGCCCAGAGGGAGAACACGGUGGGGAAACGGGCUCAUGUUUCCUCCUAGUUUUGUUCUCUUCUUGGUUUGAAGGAUCUCUCGGCUUCUUCAGAGGCAAGUACUCAUAUGUGGUUAAUUAUUCAACCAAAACGCACGCACUGCCUGAGUCGUUCCCACGUGGCCAGCAGGUCUGUGCCGGUUCCCAGGAGGACGUGAGGAAAACAGUGCAGGUCCUACCCGCGCCCAUCAGCCACCGUCACCGUGAAAAACGCCGUGAUCGACCUAAGAAGAGGAAGGGUUUCUCCUGGGUCGCAGUUCGGGGGGUUCCAGUGCCUGAUCGGGUGGACCGGUUCAUUUGAGGCCACGGUGGGGUGCUCGAUAGCAAUGGCGGGGGGUGGGGACAAAGCCAGGAGAAACUGCCCAGCUCAUGGCCAGGGAGCCAGGGCGAGGAGCAGCCUGGGAGCGUCCUCUCAAGGGACACCCCAACCUACAGCCAGAGGCCCUCGGCCCCACCUCCCAGAGGCACCCCCCAGAGGCAGCACCAUCUCCCCGUAGCACCGAGCCAGGACGUUUGGGGACACUAAGGUCCAAACCCUCGACCCACUGCACAGAGGAGAGCAGACGGGCUCUCGGCCAGCGCCCAGCCCAUUCCCAGCUGGUCACUACAGCCCUAACGCUCCUCGCCCGCCCCUGACGGCGGCUGUGCCGGCAGCUUGAGAUCCCCUUCUGACCUCCACACGUUCCUCAGGGGUAGAUGUUGUCACAGAUGAAAGCACGGAACUCGGGACACUAAACACCGUAGCCGGGCCAGCCAGAUGCAUGGCAGAGCCAGGAGCUCCACCCUCUCUGCUGGCCCAAAGCGGAUGCCCAGCUUGGAGCUUUAGGGACAGCCCGGCCAGCGGAGGGCUCUAGACCACGGACUCCAAGCCCAAGCAACCCCUGCGCUGCCUGGAACCACAGCAGACUCCCAGGGCCGGCUCCGGGGACGGCCACCUCUGAGCUGUCUCCGUCAUUCCCCCAGCACCCACGCACAGUACCGCCCCUUCCCACCCUCCAGAUCCUCUCAUGACCCAAUUGCUAGAUCUUACCCCUAAAAGCUCUUGUCCCAACAACAGCCUUUGUGCUUUCUCUGCCACUCCUCUCUGGCCUCAUCUCCCUCCCCUCAUCUCUCUUUUGGCCAAUCCAAUGCCUGUGGCUCUGACGUGCCCGAUUCCCGCUACCUCAGGGCCUUUGCACUGGUGGUCUCUGCCUGGAGGAUUCUUUUUUCUCGCUACCUGGAUGUUUUACUUUCCCCUUUCCUUCAACUGUCCUCUCAAAGAACUCUUCUCAGUGAGCCUUUCCCAGACCACUAUUUUAAAAUAGAAAUAGAGCCAGGUGUAGUGCCAUGUAUCUAAGCCCCAGGUAUUUGGGAGGCUGAGGCAAGAGGGUCCCUUGAGCCCAGGGUUCCAGAGCAACCUCAACAGCAGAGCAAGACCCUGUCUGAGAAAGAAAAGGAAAGAAAGGAAGGAAGAGGGCAUAGAAAAUAUAAAUGCCCUCUUCUAACAUCCCCUAUGUCCCCUCUUUGCUUAUUUCUCGGUGUGGCCCCUGUCGCUGCCUAAUGCACUAGAACUUACCUACAGGACUGCUCCACUGAGGCCCACCCCAAGGGCAGAGCUGUGUGCACAUCUUGUCCAUCUGUUGCUGCAGGAUCUAGUAAGUGCCCCGUCUUCAGGCGGUGCUUAAUAAAUGUUUAUGAAUGACAGCGGCGCAGCCCAAGAGCUACAGAGGGUGAAGGAAGGAGGAAGGCCCAAGCUGAGCUCUGCAGGGAGGAGUUCAGUGCCAAAGCUUCAUAAGGGGGCUGGAGCUGUCUGAGGCCAGGCCAAGGCCAAGCAGUAACACCCAAAUUGGGACAAAGAGUCAAUAAGCCUCGUGAAACCUUAAGAACAUUUUUUCAGAGCUCCACUGUCAGGUGGGUGGGAGGACGAGCACGGGACAGGCCAGUGAGUGCUGUGGGGUUUGCAGUCCAGUCAGGGGGCCAGGGCUCAGGCUCCUGGCUUCUGGGCACUGCAGUAAAUAAUCAGUUCUUGCCCAAAGCUUCCUUUGGUAGCAAACCUCUUCUCUUGGCCUGAUCCAGAAGGUGGGUGUGACUCAAGGGAGGGCUACAAGUCCUGAUUUUCUGACGCAGCGUCGCACGUAUUUAAGGAAGACUUGAAGAAGAAACAGAGAUGUCCAGAUUGAUAGUCACGACGGGCCGUGCUCCUGUCUCCAGACCUGGUGUCAGGCACCGCGUGAGGACCGCUCCAUCCCCAUGAAGCUGGGGCAGAGCUGCUGGACGCAGAGGGACGGCAGGCACUUCUCAACCUCAGCUCAACCCUGGAAGCUCCAGCCCAAAGCACAGAUCCACCUUCAGGAGGGGAGAGUGGGGCGGGGUGUGUUCAAAGCCUUCUCCAAAAUAGUGCUCCCAUCAUGAGUGUCCCCGCCGCCCCCUGCCGCCCUCCCUCCCUCACGUCCACACCCACCUUGCUUUGGCCAGAUUCACUCACUCAGGAUUUUCGGAAUGCCCCGGGGAGAACAGUGUGUAGACAGAGAAACUGGGGGACUCAACAACUUGGUGUGUUCUGGAAAUUGCAGCAUUUGGUUGGAGGGGGGACCUAGAGAUAUGGGGUGGGGGUUCAGGAAGGAGGACUGCAAGGUCCUGCAGACAUGGGUGGACCUAGCCCCAUCGCUGGUCAGCGGUGCUUCCGGCAAGUUCCGUAGCCAUCUCAUCUCUCUUCUAUCUGUAGAGAAAAUGAUACCACCCUGCAGGUAUUUCAGGUGAGACCCGGAUGAGGUCGAGCAGGAGAGAGCAGAGGGUAGAUGCUCCACCCACAGCAGCGGCCGGGUGGUGGUCAGGAGGGUCUUCUAUUCUGCUCCAGGUGUGCAGGUUCUGUCUGGCUGGUGGCAGGAGUCAGGGGAAGAUCUCAGCUGGAGAACAGCAGGUGCCAUCGUUAAUCCCAUUUGACAAAUGAUAAGACUCAGGCACAGAGAGUUGAAGUAACUUGCAGUAGGUGGCAGAGCUGCAUAAAACUCCAGCUCCUAAGCACCAUUGUGACUACUCUUCCUCCAGCUGAGGAAAAGCCCUGGCCACGGUGGAAGAGCCCAUGAUACCCAAAGGGGAAACCGGACUUGGCUUUGCUUUCGACGUAUCAGUGCAGGUGCUGAGGAAAGACUCGUGUAGGUACCUGCGUAUUCCUCAGGGGACUUCUUUACAAAAAGACUGCUCCUCCAGCUCUCUCCCUGGCUGGCUGGGCCACUGUCAGGACUCCUAUCCAAGGGCUUUGCAAAAUGGCAGGUGUCAGGUUCACCCAUUCCCUGGGCUUGUGGCUUGGGAGAGGAAGGGCCAGCGCCAAUCAGCCCCACGUCCUGUCCUGCAGUGUAGAGGAAUCGGGGGAUCCCAGGAGGAGGAGGUGCCUGUGUUGGGGCUCAGAAAUGCUCACUGGAGCACAUAGGCAUAGUGUCAGCGUUGGGAAAGCAGAACACCGAGUCCUACAGGUGGGAAGGCAGGAGUGUGUCCUUCCCAGCGGCCAUGGCUGUGGUGACUGUGGUGGCCAUAUGUCAGGUGCACUGUGCAUACUCCAGCCAGACAGGAUUUCACGUAGGAACUGGUUAUACCGAUGACUGAAUGAUGGGAAGCCCAGAGGCGAUGGGGAAAGCCAGAGAUGGGCCAGGGUCCGAGUCCCUACCAGACCUGGUUGCACCAGAUGGGCUUGGGCCAAAGGCGGCCCCUUUACAAGUUCUUCAGAAUUGAAGAUGGCAGAGCACGCCACGAGGCAGGGCCCUUACAGGUCUUCCUCCCCACUGAUCUCAUUUUGUGUUUGUUGCUUUACUUUGAAACAACGUCAAGCACAGAGAAGAGCUGCCCAUGCUGUGUCUUUAGCAGGGAAUCAGGUGCUGAGAUGUCACCUCCCAGGAAACCUCAGUGGUUUAGGGGACAACAGGAGCAGCCAUGGGAUGCUGUGGGGUUUAGCUGCACCCUGACAGGCUGUACCUUUGGAUUUGGCCCGUCUCCAACGAAGUUCCUUUGAUGGCGUGAUGAGAGUGGUGACGGGCUUCCCCUGCCCUUAGCCUGGGUAACUAGCAGGGUUUCACAGAGAGCUUCUUGGGGAGUACUGGGCUUUUGACAUAUUCCCUUAAGACAGUAGGAACUCGGGGUGUCCUAUCUUAUCUGGUGAGAUGUGGUCCAUUACUACAGCUAUUUCAAUUCCCAGAUUGCCCCCAUUUGGCCAGGGGACUCCCUUCACCUGGACUCUGUCUCUGUCCGUCUCCAUCAUCCUUCAAGCACCUGCUCCUUUUCUGGAGUGCACAGGACCCCCAACCUCAGCUUGCGCUUUCCCCCCCACCCUCCAACCAUCGUGUCUCCAAGAAUCCUCGUUCUUCUGGGUGGGAAAAUGGCGUGUGGAAUCCAAGAGCCAGCACCAGACCUGCAUUUGUUAUGGGUGUCACUCCUCCUCCCUUUUGUGAUGUCCCCUCUGAGGCCCACUCUGGAUGACUAUGGCCCUNGGGGGGCGCAGCCCAGAGGGAGAACACGGUGGGGAAACGGGCUCAUGUUUCCUCCUAGUUUUGUUCUCUUCUUGGUUUGAAGGAUCUCUCGGCUUCUUCAGAGGCAAGUACUCAUAUGUGGUUAAUUAUUCAACCAAAACGCACGCACUGCCUGAGUCGUUCCCACGUGGCCAGCAGGUCUGUGCCGGUUCCCAGGAGGACGUGAGGAAAACAGUGCAGG